Non-coding RNA from Schistosoma mattheei, 45 nucleotides. Lineage: Eukaryota; Metazoa; Platyhelminthes; Trematoda; Strigeidida; Schistosomatidae. The record is from Rfam.
ACCCAGCUGACGAGUCCCCAAUAGGACAAAACGCGCUUUCUGAAU